AUUGAACGCUGGCGGCAGGCUUAACACAUGCAAGUCGAGCGGGGAAGGGUAGCUUGCUACGUGACCUAGCGGCGGACGGGUGAGUAAUGCUUAGGAAUCUGCCUGUUAGUGGGGGACAACAUUCCGAAAGGAAUGCUAAUACCGCAUACGCCCUACGGGGGAAAGCAGGGGAUCUUCGGACCUUGCGCUAAUAGAUGAGCCUAAGUCAGAUUAGCUAGUUGGUGGGGUAAAGGCCUACCAAGGCGACGAUCUGUAGCGGGUCUGAGAGGAUGAUCCGCCACACUGGGACUGAGACACGGCCCAGACUCCUACGGGAGGCAGCAGUGGGGAAUAUUGCGCAAUGGGGGGAACCCUGACGCAGCCAUGCCGCGUGAAUGAAGAAGGCCUUAGGGUUGUAAAGUUCUUUCGGUAUUGAGGAAGGUUGAUGUGUUAAUAGCACAUCAAAUUGACGUUAAAUACAGAAGAAGCACCGGCUAACUCCGUGCCAGCAGCCGCGGUAAUACGGAGGGUGCGAGCGUUAAUCGGAAUAACUGGGCGUAAAGGGCACGCAGGCGGUUAUUUAAGUGAGGUGUGAAAGCCCCGGGCUUAACCUGGGAAUUGCAUUUCAGACUGGGUAACUAGAGUACUUUAGGGAGGGGUAGAAUUCCACGUGUAGCGGUGAAAUGCGUAGAGAUGUGGAGGAAUACCGAAGGCGAAGGCAGCCCCUUGGGAAUGUACUGACGCUCAUGUGCGAAAGCGUGGGGAGCAAACAGG
RNAcentral lists this ribosomal RNA (753 nucleotides) under uncultured Haemophilus sp. Its description in RNAcentral is "bacterial SSU rRNA". It matches the Rfam family "Bacterial small subunit ribosomal RNA", at positions 28 to 776 of the family's 1533-position model. The record is from RNAcentral. Lineage: Bacteria; Pseudomonadati; Pseudomonadota; Gammaproteobacteria; Pasteurellales; Pasteurellaceae.